AGAGUUUGAUCAUGGCUCAGGAUGAACGCUAGCGGCAGGCCUAACACAUGCAAGUCGAGGGGUAGGGGCUUUCGGGCCCUGAGACCGGCGCACGGGUGCGUAACGCGUAUGCAAUCUGCCUUACACUGGGGGAUAGCCCAGAGAAAUUUGGAUUAAUACCCCAUAGUAUUUUUUGUUGGCAUCAACAGAUUAUUAAAGUUUUUCGGUGUAAGAUGAGCAUGCGUCCCAUUAGCUAGUUGGUAUGGUAACGGCAUACCAAGGCAAUGAUGGGUAGGGGUCCUGAGAGGGAGAUCCCCCACACUGGUACUGAGACACGGACCAGACUCCUACGGGAGGCAGCAGUGAGGAAUAUUGGUCAAUGGGCGAGAGCCUGAACCAGCCAUGCCGCGUGCAGGAUGAAGCAUCUAUGGUGUGUAAACUGCUUUUGUACGGGAAGGAACCCCUCUACGUGUAGAGGCUUGACGGUACCGUAAGAAUAAGGAUCGGCUAACUCCGUGCCAGCAGCCGCGGUAAUACGGAGGAUCCAAGCGUUAUCCGGAAUCAUUGGGUUUAAAGGGUCCGUAGGCGGCUUUAUAAGUCAGUGGUGAAAUCUGGCGGCUCAACCGUCAAAUUGCCAUUGAUACUGUAGGGCUUGAAUGUUUGUGAAGUAACUAGAAUAUGUAGUGUAGCGGUGAAAUGCUUAGAUAUUACAUGGAAUACCCAUUGCGAAGGCAGGUUACUAACAAAUGAUUGACGCUGAUGGACGAAAGCGUGGGGAGCGAACAGGAUUAGAUACCCUGGUAGUCCACGCCGUAAACGAUGGAUACUAGCUGUUUGGCAGCAAUGCUGAGUGGCUAAGCGAAAGUGAUAAGUAUCCCGCCUGGGGGAGUACGGGCGCAAGCCUGAAACUCAAAUGAAUUGACGG
Molecule: ribosomal RNA, 904 nt
Filed under: uncultured bacterium
Lineage: Bacteria
Description: bacterial SSU rRNA
Rfam family: Bacterial small subunit ribosomal RNA
Source: RNAcentral